CCUACGGGUGGCAGCAGUGAGGAAUAUUGGUCAAUGGGCGAGAGCCUGAACCAGCCAAGUCGCGUGAGGGAGUACUGCCCUAUGGGUUGUAAACCUCUUUUGUCGGGGAGCAAAAGCCGGACGUGUCCGGCUGUGAGAGUACCCGAAGAAAAAGCAUCGGCUAACUCCGUGCCAGCAGCCGCGGUAAUACGGAGGAUGCGAGCGUUAUCCGGAUUUAUUGGGUUUAAAGAGGGCGCAGGCGGAUUAUUAAGUCAGAGGUAAAAUCGUGGGGCUCAACCCCAUCCAGCCGUUGAAACUGGGGAUCUAGAGUGUGCGAGAGGUAUGCGGAAUGCGUGGUGUAGCGGUGAAAUGCAUAGAUAUCACGCAGAACCCCGAUUGCGAAGGCAGCAUACCGGUGCACAACUGACGCUCAGGCACGAAAGCGUGGGUAUCGAACAGGAUUAGAUACACCAGUAGUC
RNAcentral lists this ribosomal RNA (458 nucleotides) under uncultured bacterium. RNAcentral's name for it is "partial 16S ribosomal RNA". It matches the Rfam family "Bacterial small subunit ribosomal RNA", at positions 338 to 795 of the family's 1533-position model. The record is from RNAcentral.